AUGAAACUGUAUUAUAAACUGCCUCUUCCAGAAUCUUCCUGGAACAGAUUUAGUUUGAAGUGUUACAGAAACAACUUCUGUCCAAACACAAGGCAGAAUGACAGUGGAUAUGGAAAAUCUCAUGAGCUUUGGCAGUCAGGUGAUGCUGCAGCAAGGCAUUGCUCAUCCUCGGUGUCAGAAGCAGUUUUCAGAGAUGGGAAUGUUCUCAGAAACAAGAAUUAAAUUGCCUCUGAGUCACAGAGCUGGUCAUCAUCGGGUUGCAUACGUGCCUACACAGUGCUGGGACUGAAUUCGUAUAGGACACACAUUAAUUCACUGGCUCAAAGACUUGGUGUUAAGUGUCAAAUAAACCAUGUGUGUUAUUACA
This 367-nucleotide long non-coding RNA is filed under the name Coturnix japonica (Japanese quail). RNAcentral's name for it is "lncRNA (ENSCJPG00005004061.1)". Lineage: Eukaryota; Metazoa; Chordata; Aves; Galliformes; Phasianidae. The record is from RNAcentral.